Molecule: non-coding RNA, 560 nt
Organism: Cinara cedri
Lineage: Eukaryota; Metazoa; Arthropoda; Insecta; Hemiptera; Aphididae
Source: the annotation of a GenBank genome assembly
AAUUAUAAUUUAUUGUCGGGCUGAAUAGUUUUACAAUGCUAAAUUCCUGUGGUAAUACUCACAUGUCCACAAGCCGCCAGAAUGGCAUUAUGUCAUGCGUUGUCAUAGGGGACCGAGGGAAUCUUAACUACUUAUUAUUAUUUAUUAUAAAUUUAACCUUAGGUAUAGAGUCAGUUGGGGUAAAUGUGAAUAAUCUAAUCUCAGGGAAUUGUAAAUAAAUUAGUUAACUUUUGCGAAAUAAUUGAAACUGAGAAUUUUUUCUGAAUGUUGAUAAAUGGCCAAACUAAUUUUGUUUGCCUGUGGUCAGUAGGCCCUUUCGAUUGAUCCGUAUAAAUAUCCUGUAUGUCUUUGCAUACACAUGGCCCUGAUACAUGUUUCUAGGGUGUAUUCGCUCAUGUCUCAGAUGUUUAAAAGGCUUAUAAUCACUUGGCUUGCAAUACUAAAACAAUAAGUAUUUGGAUGUUUCAUCAACAAAAUAUCUAUAGCAAGAUAAGAGUUAUUUACGCCCACUAAAAUGGUAUACAGAUUUUAAUUUUACCUAAAUGUUCUUUUUCAAUAUA